This 781-nucleotide ribosomal RNA is filed under the name uncultured archaeon. RNAcentral describes it as "bacterial SSU rRNA". It matches the Rfam family "Archaeal small subunit ribosomal RNA", at positions 110 to 879 of the family's 1478-position model. The record is from RNAcentral.
UGGCCUUUGAGAGAUAUCCCCGGGAACUGGGGCUAAUUCUCGAUAGGCGAAGAACUCUGGAAUGAGUCUUCACCCAAAAGAGCCUGCGUUAUGCUCGUAGGUUUCGCCCAAGGAUGGGGCCGCGACCGAUCAGGUUGUUGGUGAGGUAAUGGCUCACCAAGCCUUUAACCGGUGCGGGCCGUGGGAGCGGGAGCCCGGAGAUGGGCACUGAGACAAGGGCCCAGGCCCUACGGGGCGCAGCAGUCGCGAAAACUUUGCAAUAAGCGAAAGCUUGACAGGGCUAUCCCGAGUGCCAUCCGCUGAGGAAGGCUUUUACCCAGUCUAGAACGCUGGGGGAAUAAGGAGAGGGCAAGUCUGGUGUCAGCCGCCGCGGUAAUACCAGCUCUUCGAGUGGUGUGGAUGUUUAUUGGGCCUAAAGCAUCCGUAGCUGGCUAGGUUAGUCCCUUGUUAAAUCCACCGAAUUAAUCGUUGGAUUGCGGGGGAUACUGCUUGGCUAGGGGACGAGAGAGGCAGACGGUAUUUUCGGGGUAGGGGUGAAAUCCUAUAAUCCCGGGAAGACCACCAGUGGCGAAGGCUGUCUGCUAGAACGCGCCCGACGGUGAGGGAUGAAAGCUGGGGGAGCGAACCGGAUUAGAUACCCGGGUAGUCCCAGCUGUAAACGAUGCAGGCUAGGUGUUUGGACGGCCACGUGCCGUUCUAGUGCCGCAGGGAAGCUGUUAAGCCUGCCGCCUGGGGAGUACGAUCGCAAGAUUGAAACUUAAAGGAAUUGGCGGGGGAGCAC